UCCGGUUUGUCACCGGCAGUUUCAUUAGAGUGCCCAACUGAAUGAUGGCAACUAAUGACAAGGGUUGCGCUCGUUGCGGGACUUAACCCAACAUCUCACGACACGAGCUGACGACAGCCAUGCAGCACCUGUGUCCAGGCUCUCUUUCGAGCACCAAGCCAUCUCUGGCAAGUUCCUGGCAUGUCAAGGGUAGGUAAGGUUUUUCGCGUUGCAUCGAAUUAAUCCACAUCAUCCACCGCUUGUGCGGGUCCCCGUCAAUUCCUUUGAGUUUUAAUCUUGCGACCGUACUCCCCAGGCGGCCAACUUCACGCGUUAGCUACGGUACUAAGGAAGUCUCCUUCCCCAACACCUAGUUGGCAUCGUUUAGGGCGUGGACUAC
RNAcentral lists this unclassified non-coding RNA (379 nucleotides) under uncultured Gammaproteobacteria bacterium. Its description in RNAcentral is "contains 16S-23S intergenic spacer region". Lineage: Bacteria; Pseudomonadati; Pseudomonadota; Gammaproteobacteria. The record is from RNAcentral.